RNAcentral lists this ribosomal RNA (253 nucleotides) under uncultured Neochlamydia sp. RNAcentral's name for it is "partial 16S ribosomal RNA". It matches the Rfam family "Bacterial small subunit ribosomal RNA", at positions 524 to 776 of the family's 1533-position model. Lineage: Bacteria; Pseudomonadati; Chlamydiota; Chlamydiia; Parachlamydiales; Parachlamydiaceae. The record is from RNAcentral.
UACGGAGGGUGCAAGCAUUAAUCGGAAUUAUUGGGCGUAAAGGGCGCGUAGGCGGAAAUUCAAGUCAGAUGUGAAAUACCGGGGCUCAACUUCGGUGCUGCAUUUGAGACUGCUUUUCUAGAGGGUAGAAGGAGAAAAUGGAAUUCCACAAGUAGCGGUGAAAUGCGUAGAUAUGUGGAAGAACACCGGUGGCGAAGGCGGUUUUCUAUUUUAUUCCUGACGCUGAGGCGCGAAAGCAAGGGGAUCAAACAGG